RNAcentral lists this ribosomal RNA (1327 nucleotides) under Derovatellus lentus. RNAcentral's name for it is "SSU rRNA". It matches the Rfam family "Eukaryotic small subunit ribosomal RNA", at positions 602 to 1774 of the family's 1831-position model. Lineage: Eukaryota; Metazoa; Arthropoda; Insecta; Coleoptera; Dytiscidae. The record is from RNAcentral.
UAUUAAAGUUGUUGCGGUUAAAAAGCUCGUAGUUGAAUCUGUGUCUCGCGCUGUCGGUUCACCGCCCGCGGUGUUAAACUGGCACGCCCGCGAGACGUCCUGCCGGUGGGACGGCGUGCCGGCGGCCCUCGGGCCGUCCGUCGCGCGUCCCGACUUGAAAUCCUACCGCGGUGCUCUUCACUGAGUGUCGAGGUGGGCCGGCACGUUUACUUUGAACAAAUUAGAGUGCUCAAAGCAGGCUAAAACUUCGCCUGAAUACUGUGUGCAUGGAAUAAUGGAACAGGACCUCGGUUCUAUUUUGUUGGUUUUCGGAACCCCGAGGUAAUGAUUAAUAGGGACAGAUGGGGGCAUUCGUAUUGCGACGUUAGAGGUGAAAUUCUUGGACGUCGCAAGACGGACAGAAGCGAAAGCAUUUGCCAAAAAUGUUUUCAUUAAUCAAGAACGAAAGUCAGAGGUUCGAAGGCGAUCAGAUACCGCCCUAGUUCUGACCAUAAACGAUGCCAGCUAGCGAUCCGCCGACGUUCCUCCGAUGACUCGGCGGGCAGCUUCCGGGAAACCAAAGCUUUUGGGUUCCGGGGGAAGUAUGGUUGCAAAGCUGAAACUUAAAGGAAUUGACGGAAGGGCACCACCAGGAGUGGAGCCUGCGGCUUAAUUUGACUCAACACGGGAAACCUCACCAGGCCCGGACACCGGAAGGAUUGACAGAUUGAGAGCUCUUUCUUGAUUCGGUGGGUGGUGGUGCAUGGCCGUUCUUAGUUGGUGGAGUGAUUUGUCUGGUUAAUUCCGAUAACGAACGAGACUCUAGCCUGCUAACUAGGCGUUACUUUCCGGCAUCUCGAAGGCUCGCGUCUCCCGUUCGCCGGUGCGGGCGAGUGUCGCGUUGCGGCGUUUCGGCGUUUGCGCGCGCCUCGUUCGUCCGGUCGGGUGUUCGCGGUUUUUACUGCCGGCGUACACAUGAAUCUUCUUAGAGGGACAGGCGGCUCCUAGCCGCACGAGAUUGAGCAAUAACAGGUCUGUGAUGCCCUUAGAUGUUCUGGGCCGCACGCGCGCUACACUGAAGGAAUCAGCGUGUCCUCCCUGGCCGAGCGGUCCGGGUAACCCGCUGAACCUCCUUCGUGCUAGGGAUUGGGGCUUGCAAUUGUUCCCCAUGAACGAGGAAUUCCCAGUAAGCGCGAGUCAUAAGCUCGCGUUGAUUACGUCCCUGCCCUUUGUACACACCGCCCGUCGCUACUACCGAUUGAAUGAUUUAGUGAGGUCUUCGGACCGGUACGCGGCGAGGUUUCGACGUCGCCGAUGUCGCUGGGAAGAUGACCAAACUUGAUCAUUU